UGGUUAAGUGACUAAGCGUACACGGUGGAUGCCUGGGCAGUCAGAGGCGAUGAAGGACGUACUAACUUGCGAUAAGCGCAGAUAAGGCAGUAAGAGCCGUUUGAGUCUGCGAUUUCCGAAUGGGGAAACCCAACUGCAUAAGCAGUUACUGUUAACUGAAUACAUAGGUUAACAGAGCAAACCGGGGGAACUGAAACAUCUAAGUACCCCGAGGAGAAGAAAUCAACCGAGAUUCCGGUAGUAGCGGCGAGCGAACCUGGAUUAGCCCUUAAGCACUCGGUGAAGUAGGUGAACAAGCUGGAAAGCUUGGCGAUACAGGGUGAUAGCCCCGUAACCGACGCUUCA
Molecule: ribosomal RNA, 345 nt
Filed under: Vibrio cholerae
Lineage: Bacteria; Pseudomonadati; Pseudomonadota; Gammaproteobacteria; Vibrionales; Vibrionaceae
Description: partial 23S ribosomal RNA
Rfam family: Bacterial large subunit ribosomal RNA
Source: RNAcentral